UCCCCCUUCCCGGCGCACUCGGGGGGCUGGGAACGAGCUGCCAUGUGAUGCGCGUCCCCUCCGCAAGCUUUCGGUGACCCACGAACUGCCCACCUCGCCGGCUGCCGGGAGGGGGCUGCGAGCCGGGAAGACGCGGGGAAGAGGAGGCGGAAAAGGACGCAAAGUUCUCCGGCGAGUGCAGCUGUCUGCUUCAGAAAGUGAGGGCUCCAGGAAUGAGGAGAAUCUUCAAGAGCUGCCUCGCACUGUGACAUGUCUGAUCCCUUGCUCCCAUCCCUGCAGCAUGAACAAGGUGGACACUCACUGACCUGUCACAAGGUUGCCCCACAAAACUUUGGGGUCCAUGUCUGAAUGGAUUGCCAGAGCCUUCUCAUCUCUCCCUUCGCCCAGUUCCCUGCAUCCUAAGACUCG
This 408-nucleotide long non-coding RNA is filed under the name Pan troglodytes (chimpanzee). RNAcentral describes it as "long non-coding RNA NONPTRT015245". The record is from RNAcentral. Lineage: Eukaryota; Metazoa; Chordata; Mammalia; Primates; Hominidae.